AUUGAACGCUGGCGGCAUGCUUUACACAUGCAAGUCGAACGGCAGCGCGGGCUUCGGCCUGGCGGCGAGUGGCGAACGGGUGAGUAAUGCAUCGGAACGUGCCCAGUAGUGGGGGAUAGCCCGGCGAAAGCCGGAUUAAUACCGCAUACGACCUGAGGGUGAAAGCGGGGGACCGAAAGGCCUCGCGCUAUUGGAGCGGCCGAUGUCGGAUUAGCUAGUUGGUGGGGUAAAGGCUUACCAAGGCGACGAUCCGUAGCUGGUCUGAGAGGACGACCAGCCACACUGGGACUGGGACACGGCCCAGACUCCUACGGGAGGCAGCAGUGGGGAAUUUUGGACAAUGGGGGCAACCCUGCUCCAGCCAUGCCGCGUGCUGGAAGAAGGCCUUCGGGUUGUAAACCGCUUUUGUUCGGGAAGAAAUCCUCUGGGCUAAUACCCCGGGGGGAUGACGGUACCGGAAGAAUAAGCACCGGCUAACUACGUG
Molecule: ribosomal RNA, 484 nt
Filed under: uncultured bacterium
Lineage: Bacteria
Description: partial 16S ribosomal RNA
Rfam family: Bacterial small subunit ribosomal RNA
Source: RNAcentral